GCAAGUCGAACGAGAAAGUGGAGCAAUCCAUGAGUACAGUGGCGUACGGGUGAGUAACACGUGACUAACCUACCCUCGAGUGGGGAAUAACUUCGGGAAACCGAGGCUAAUACCGCAUAACAUCUACGGAUCAAAUGCGCAAGCAGCUUGAGGAGGGGGUCGCGGCUGAUUAGCUAGUUGGCGGGGUAACGGCCCACCAAGGCAAUGAUCAGUAGCCGGCCUGAGAGGGCGCACGGCCACACUGGAACUGAAACACGGUCCAGACUCCUACGGGAGGCAGCAGUGGGGAAUUUUGCGCAAUGGGGGAAACCCUGACGCAGCAACGCCGCGUGGAGGAUGAAGCCCCUUGGGGUGUAAACUCCUUUCGAUCGGGACGAUUAUGACGGUACCGGAUGAAGAAGCACCGGCUAACUCUGUGCCAGCAGCCGCGGUAAUACAGAGGGUGCAAGCGUUGUUCGGAAUUAUUGGGCGUAAAGGGUGCGUANGCGGUGCGGUAAGUCUUCUGUGAAACCUCCGGGCUUAACUCGGAGCCUGCAGGGGAAACUGCCGUGCUGGAGUAUGGGAGAGGUGAGUGGAAUUCCCGGUGUAGCGGUGAAAUGCGU
Molecule: ribosomal RNA, 602 nt
Filed under: uncultured bacterium
Lineage: Bacteria
Description: bacterial SSU rRNA
Rfam family: Bacterial small subunit ribosomal RNA
Source: RNAcentral